Molecule: ribosomal RNA, 253 nt
Filed under: uncultured bacterium
Lineage: Bacteria
Description: partial 16S ribosomal RNA
Rfam family: Bacterial small subunit ribosomal RNA
Source: RNAcentral
UACGGAGGGUGCAAGCGUUGUCCGGAUUUAUUGGGUUUAAAGGGUGCGUAGGCGGCUUUGUAAGUCCGUGGUGAAAGCCAACAGCUCAACUGUUGAACUGCCAUGGAUACUGCAGGGCUUGAGUACAGACGAGGUAGGCGGAAUUGAUGGUGUAGCGGUGAAAUGCAUAGAUACCAUCAAGAACCCCGAUUGCGAAGGCAGCUUACUAGGCUGUAACUGACGCUGAGGCACGAAAGCGUGGGGAGCGAACAGG